UACGUAGGGCGCAAGGCGUUGUCCGGAAUCAUUGGGCGUAAAGAGCUCGUAGGUGGUCUGUUACGUCUGCUGUGAAAUCCUAGGGCUUAACCCUGGGCCUGCAGUGGAUACGGGCAGACUAGAGGUAGGUAGGGGAGAAUGGAAUUCCCGGUGUAGCGGUGAAAUGCGCAGAUAUCGGGAGGAACACCGGUGGCGAAGGCGGUUCUCUGGGCCUUACCUGACACUGAGGAGCGAAAGCGUGGGGAGCGAACAGG
RNAcentral lists this ribosomal RNA (254 nucleotides) under uncultured bacterium. Its description in RNAcentral is "partial 16S ribosomal RNA". It matches the Rfam family "Bacterial small subunit ribosomal RNA", at positions 524 to 776 of the family's 1533-position model. The record is from RNAcentral.